RNAcentral lists this ribosomal RNA (495 nucleotides) under uncultured bacterium. RNAcentral's name for it is "SSU rRNA". It matches the Rfam family "Bacterial small subunit ribosomal RNA", at positions 26 to 521 of the family's 1533-position model. The record is from RNAcentral.
AGGACGAACGCUGGCGGCGUGCUUAACACGUGCAAGUGGAGCGACGAACCAGGGCUUGCCCUGGGGCAGAGCCGCGAACGGGUGAGUAACACGUGGGUUACCUGCCUCGAUGACCGGGACAACCCGAGGAAACUCGGGCUAAUACCGGAUGUGCCCGCAAGGGGAAAGGAAGCUUCGGCCUCCGCAUCGAGAUGGGCCCGCGGCCCAUUAGCUUGUUGGUGAGGUAACGGCUCACCAAGGCUUCGAUGGGUAGCUGGUCUGAGAGGACGAUCAGCCACACUGGGACUGAGACACGGCCCAGACUCCUACGGGAGGCAGCAGUGGGGAAUCUUGCGCAAUGCGCGAAAGCGUGACGCAGCAACGCCGCGUGGGGGAAGAAGGCUUUCGGGUUGUAAACCCCUUUCAGUUGGGACGAAGCUUCUCCGGUGAAUAGCCGGACGGAGUGACGGUACCUUCACAAGAAGCACCGGCUAACUACGUGCCAGCAGCCGCGGU